Long non-coding RNA from Marmota monax (woodchuck), 2056 nucleotides. RefSeq lists it as uncharacterized. The record is from RefSeq and is a predicted model, not a curated record. Lineage: Eukaryota; Metazoa; Chordata; Mammalia; Rodentia; Sciuridae. The transcript has 2 exons.
UGCUUGGCUCUCGGGGGUGGCUGGGGCCUUCGGGUGGCGCCGGACUGGAGGCCACGCGCUUGGUGAUGUGCUCAUUGUACGUCGGUGGGCCUCGCUUGUUGGGGCUGCUGGCAAGAAGAGAAGGGGGCAGGGAGCUGGGGAGUCACGAUCCCCAAAGGGUGUCCCCCUUCUACUCUGUGGCCCCACACCUCAACGUCACCACCACUGUUUAGAAAAAGGCCAGGCCUGGAGCCCGGACCUCCUGCUUCUUGUGUCUGGGCAGUGAGGACAGGGAAGGCAGCAGCCACCACAACAGGAAGCCAAACUUCCUGGCCACAGUAAAGGCCACGCCUCCUGUGCGGGCUCUGUGGCGAAGCUCUUCCUGUGUGUGACCCCCUCAUCUUGUUGGAUCACAGCAUCCCGGGGAGCCGGAAGCAAGCAAGACCCUCACUGAACAGGCAAGAAAUGGAGACACAGGGCAGCGAGGUGACUGCUUGUGCUGGAUUCCAAACCAGGGGCUCUAACUGGGGACUCAGUGCUCAGAAGGCCCACACCCCUGUGAUGUCUGUGAAGCAGUGACACUCAGAUUCCUACAUCUUGAAAUCAAGGUUCAUGUGCUCAUCUAGCCAUACAGCUCUGAGAUACAAAGACAAAUAACAAAUACACUCCAAGAGGAGGACUACAUGAAGCCUAUUGUAAUGGCAGAGAAAUCAUAACCCCUGUCUUCAGAGGCCCAUCAAAGAGCAGCGUGAGGGCGCUCGGUGCCCAGGGAAAGCAGGCAGGCCCAGGGAGGACGGCAGCCGAGAUGAAUGGGAGGAAGGAAACACUCAUCAUUGGAAGCCGAGCAGGCAGUCUUCCAUCUACAUAGCCAUUAACGACCAAUGAUCUUCCACAUCCAUUUUAUGUGUUUUGCAAAGAGUUAUGUUUUUUGCUCUGCCAAACAGACCAGGAAAACGAGGCCUGCAGUGAAUCACACCCACCAAGCACCCUUGUGCAUUCUGACCUGCCCAGAGCAGUCGGCAGCAAAAGGACUGUUCCUUAAGGUGGGAGACAACCAAGACUGACUGCCGGUUCUCCAGACACGCCCGGGGGCCCCAGGGACCCAUACACAUUAUUUUUCAUCCCUGUUCACAGAUACUGCAACCAUUUUCAACUACAGAGUAAGCAACUCCUUACUGGGAAACGUAGGGUCUUGAAAGCAAGGUGUCCAGCCAUCUAAGAGGCAAUGAGGGGGGAUCUAAUUGCAAUAUUUUGACUUGUUUCUGGCAUGACUUGGAAAGCACUUAAGGAGGAUCUAGAUAUUUCAGGGGAAGAUAGUGGACCACUGAGUGAUCACUCUGGAGGCAUCAGGAAGCACCUGGCUAUUAUAACUUGUGGAUUCUUGGCAAGCUCCUGGGAUUAAAACUAUGCUUAUGAGGGCAGGUAGAGCCCGCCCAGCACACAAGAGAACCUGGGCUGGAUCCCCAGUACUUGCCAACAAACAGACCCACACUGACCAGACAUGUAGAAGGGCUGGGGCCGGGGCUGGGGCUCAGUGGCAGAGCUCUUGCUUAGCACUGGUGAGGCACUGGGUUCAAUCCUCAGCACCACAUAAAAAUAAAUUAAUUACAUAAAGGUAUUGUGUCCAUCUACCACUAAAAAUAUUUAAAAAAAGAACAAAGAGCCGAGCAUGGUGGUACAUGCCUGUAAUUCCCAGCAACUCUGGGGCUGAGGCAGGAGGAUCUUAAGUUUGAGGCCAGCCUCUUGUCCAUAGUGUAAUGAAGCACUACCCAGUAUGGGGUGCUUCAUUACAACAACAGAAAAUAGACUAAUACAUAGUGUUAUUUUUAAAAAGAGAAUUGUACACACAUAUGCUUGGAUAUGUACAAAAGAUUUCUAAGUAAAAACACAAAAACUUAAAACAUGGGUCCCUUCCUAGAUGGGGACCUAAGUGGUGGGGGCUGGGGAGAGUUGAGAGGCAUGACAGAGCCAGCAGAGAUUUUGUGCUGCCAUGUGCCUUUCUUAGUCCUUUGCAUUCUACACACUGGGAUUGGAUCAACAAUUCAAAAAUUAUGAAAUGAAUGAAAUUUAAGAAGAA